This 452-nucleotide ribosomal RNA is filed under the name uncultured organism. RNAcentral's name for it is "partial 16S ribosomal RNA". It matches the Rfam family "Bacterial small subunit ribosomal RNA", at positions 333 to 801 of the family's 1533-position model. The record is from RNAcentral.
ACACUCCUGCGGGAGGCAGCAGUGGGGAAUAUUGGACAAUGGGCGCAAGCCUGAUCCAGCCAUGCCGCGUGAGUGAUGAAGGCCCUAGGGUUGUAAAGCUCUUUCACCGGUGAAGAUAAUGACGGUAACCGGAGAAGAAGCCCCGGCUAACUUCGUGCCAGCAGCCGCGGUAAUACGAAGGGGGCUAGCGUUGUUCGGAUUUACUGGGCGUAAAGCGCACGUAGGCGGACUAUUAAGUCAGGGGUGAAAUCCCGGGGCUCAACCCCGGAACUGCCUUUGAUACUGGUAGUCUUGAGUUCGAGGGAGGUGAGUGGAAUUCCGAGUGUAGAGGUGAAAUUCGUAGAUAUUCGGAGGAACACCAGUGGCGAAGGCGGCUCACUGGCUCGAUACUGACGCUGAGGUGCGAAAGCGUGGGGAGCAAACAGGAUUAGAAACCCCUGUAGUCCCAUGAU